RNAcentral lists this ribosomal RNA (165 nucleotides) under Triticum aestivum (bread wheat). RNAcentral describes it as "partial small subunit ribosomal RNA". The record is from RNAcentral. Lineage: Eukaryota; Viridiplantae; Streptophyta; Magnoliopsida; Poales; Poaceae.
AUGACCUAUGUUGUGUUGAAGGGAUAUCUAUAUGAUCCGAUCGAUUGCACAAGACCUGCAGUAGCAAUAGAACGAGGAAAGUAUACAAAAAAGGCAGUUCUUUUCAAUUUCGAUUAUCUAUAUAUUAGUUCAUUUCUAUUUCUAGAUAUCUAUUUCUAUAUAUAA